UAAUAUUUUCAAGAUGAGGAGGACAGGUUUCCCUCGGCCAUUGGUUGCCCGGAUAUAUCACCAUACCUAGCUUCCAUCUUUUUGCCACGUAUUGCCGGCCCCCAUACGUACUCAACCCUAUAAAUCAAACCCUUACAUUUCAGAGUUGAAUCGUUUAAGAAAAAAUGCCAGACCAUCCACCACCACCACACGGCGGCCACGGUCACGCACCACCCCCAGGUCCGGGACACCACGAGCCUCCUCCGCCCCAUGGCCAUGCUCCUCCUCCGGGGCCUCAUGCACCUCCUCCGGGACCCCAUGCACCUCCUCCGGGACCCCAUGCACCUCCUCCGGAACCCCAUGCACCUCCUCCGGGACCCCAUGCACCUCCUCAUGAUCCACACAAGCCACAUGACUGUCACCACGGUCACCACCACCCAUGAACCGAACUAGUCAUGAGGCCACGAUCGAGAAGCUAGUCUCAGCAAGUUGUUAUCUAUUUAUCUUUGUGCCUGUAAUGUGAUCUAGCUGCGGUUGUAGUUCUGAGUUGCUGGGUUUACUGGCUUUGCUCCAUUGAUCUCAUCGUUAUGUAAUGACUAAAAUAUGAGGACUAUGUAUGUAUCCAAAAGAAGGCUGAUCAUAUAUGUAUAAUAAGAAGAGUACUGGCUUUGUGGUUUAUGUAUAAUCCGCUUGUGUAAAACUUCUUCUUUUAUCCGUCUAAAUGUGAUGUAUAAUCAGAAAAUAUGGCCAGUUUGUCAUCUUGACCAACCUGAACUUACAAACUAAUUAAUUAAGUCAAUCUCCCCAAUUUCAUCAAUCUUCAUUAGGAUUUCAUCACUAGCUCAUUCCUUCACAGAUAAUUAACCAUUUGCUCGAUUGCUCUUAACAAACUGUAAUAGCCAAGAGGCAAACGCAUCCAUCUAAAUUCUAAAAAGUUAUUAACACAGGCUAGGGGUAAAUUAUCCUUUGUUCAGACCAAUCUCACAGUUGAAGCGAUGAAUUGGCUAAAACAAAAGCCUACGGGCAGAAAAACAAAGCAUCUCUAUUCGUACGGAAGAAUGACUUCCAUAUAUAGUAAGCCUUAUAGUUAUAACACCGUAAGUGUAUAAGAAUAGGAAUUCAUAAACGCAAUAAGAAGAAGACCGUGAAAGAGAUCGAAGAUUAAAGCAGGCCUUAAUGUCUUGUAUAUUCUGUACAAAAUUUCAACAGCCAGAUUUUCUCGAUGCAUUCGUCAGCUUCUGUUUGUAACCUUUCUUCUGUCAAAUCCUCCAUGGCUUUUCACGAGCAAUAAUUCUUGCAAGGUCCCAUUAACAAGCCUCACGUACGUUGUUCUUAUCUCCUUUUCCUUAGCUCACCAAGAAUUCAACUAUUACCAAGUGCAGCAACUAGUUUCUGUGAUCGAUCUACGGAAAGUUAAAGUUAUUGCUCAAAAGAGAAAGAGAAAACGGAAGUUAAAGUUCCAUGCUGCCCUAGUUCAAGUACGCACUCAGUUAUGAUCUUGUGGUUCUUACAAUGGAUGAAUGGAUGAAGCAUUACCACACAAAUACUCAGAAGAGAAAAACAAAACAACCACAGUGCACGAUUAACAUGCUAGCUAGCUUUCAUUGUGUGCAAAUAUCCUGAGCUACCAUUCC
This 1613-nucleotide long non-coding RNA is filed under the name Fragaria vesca (wild strawberry). RNAcentral describes it as "long non-coding RNA (FVES_LNC000046)". Lineage: Eukaryota; Viridiplantae; Streptophyta; Magnoliopsida; Rosales; Rosaceae. The record is from RNAcentral.